GCCGCCGAGGCCCGCCCCACUGACCGUGGCGCCUGAAGGGGCGGAGGAAAGCGCUUCCGCGCAAGCGCGUUCGCGUGCUCUCGCCUUCUAGAGAAGUUACUGCGCAGGUUCGCGCGGAACCUACGGAGAGACCAGUAGGUCUUGGAGGGCUAGGUUUGCCACUUUUCUGGACUUUUUACAAUUUUUAAUGCCACCGACUACUACUUACUGGACGCAUGUGGUACACCGGCCACAAUGCUAACCAUACAAUUACAGCGUUCACUCAACGUGAAUGUAUUGAACGAUUCCUACGUAGCAGUGAGCACUUUGGGUCCCUAACCAGGUCCCAGGAUUCCUUUGAUGGGAGCAGAGAAAUCGUUACCACAUUUUCCACAAUUUGUCCACCGCUUCCCACCCUCCAACUUGGUCUGCUAUUCUCCCCUUCCCAGAAAGUUUAGCGCACUUCGCAAGGCCGCGUUAUGACUUUCGUGGAACCGCGACACAUUGGCCUUGUGUUUGUGGAGUCCUAGAUUGGAGCGCGGCAAAGAGAUGUUCAUCAUCAGCAUGUGGUGUAAAUGACACAAGCUGGCGGUCAGCUGGAAGAUACAGCAAAUGUCCAAGGGGCUACCCAUUCCUAGGGAGAGAGAAUUGGGAUCACUCCAGCUUCUGAUGGUGGCUGUCAAUCCUUGCUCUUGCUUGGCUUCAAGGUACAUUGUUCCGAUCUCUGCUUCUGUCAUCAGCCACAUGGCAUUUUUCCACUGGUGUUUCUGUGUCCCUUGUCUCUGCUUGUAAGGACACAGUUCAUAUUGGAUGAAGGGCCUCUCUUGCUCCAGCAUGACCUCGUCUUAAUUGCAUCUGCGAAGACUCUAUAUCCAAAUUAGGUCAAAUUCACAGGUAUUAAGGGUUAGGACUAUUUCAACAUACCUGAUGUGGGACACAAUUCAAGCCACAUUGCCCAUUAAAAGAUUUUCAAAAAACUCUGAA
This is a long non-coding RNA of Neofelis nebulosa (Clouded leopard), 963 nucleotides long. RefSeq lists it as uncharacterized. The record is from RefSeq and is a predicted model, not a curated record. The transcript has 4 exons. NCBI's taxonomy places the organism in Eukaryota, Metazoa, Chordata, Mammalia, Carnivora, Felidae.